GUAGACGUUAGCUCAGUGGUUAGAGCACAGGGCUCUGGCUCUCGGGUCCGCGAGUUCGAGUCCCGUCAACUACU
RNAcentral lists this transfer RNA (74 nucleotides) under Trichomalopsis sarcophagae. Its description in RNAcentral is "tRNA-OTHER". It matches the Rfam family "tRNA". Rfam says of the family: Transfer RNA (tRNA) molecules are approximately 80 nucleotides in length. Lineage: Eukaryota; Metazoa; Arthropoda; Insecta; Hymenoptera; Pteromalidae. The record is from RNAcentral.